GUCCACGCCCUAAACGAUGAUGACUAGUUGUUGGAGGAGUUAAAUCCUUUAGUAACGCAGCUAACGCGUGAAGUCAUCCGCCUGGGGAGUACGGUCGCAAGAUUAAAACUCAAAGGAAUUGACGGGGGCCCGCACAAGCGGUGGAUGAUGUGGUUUAAUUCGAUGCAACGCGAAAACCUUACCUACCCUUGACAUGUCAGGAACUCUGCAGAAAUGCAGAGGUGCUCGAAAGAGAACCUGAACACAGGUGCUGCAUGGCUGUCGU
RNAcentral lists this ribosomal RNA (265 nucleotides) under uncultured bacterium. Its description in RNAcentral is "partial 16S ribosomal RNA". It matches the Rfam family "Bacterial small subunit ribosomal RNA", at positions 793 to 1055 of the family's 1533-position model. The record is from RNAcentral.